CUGAAACGAUUCGAUCUCAGCAAUGGCUAACAUUAAUCUCCCCCGACGAAUCAUCAAGGAAACUCAACUUCUUCUUAAUGAACCAGCUACCGGGAUAAGUGCUUCACCGUCGGAGGUUAAUAUGCGGUACUUCAAUGUGAUGAUUUUUGGCCCAACACAAUUGCCAUAAGAAGUAAAUUGCUGAGUGAUAUAUUGCUUUUAAUGUCACAGAAUUCUUAUGGUUGCUUUGGUUAUGUAAAGUUGGAAUCCCCAUUUGGGUUCUAGAGGUUUGUUCACGAAGACUGUCUAUCAUAGACUUUGAACAUAUCUUUCAUGUCGUUCUCUAUUAGAUUUUACCUACUCCGUAUAGUGCUUUUUGGCUGAAGUUGUGUGAUGAAAGUGGGUGGUGAAUUUCGCUUAUUGCUUCUAGUCAUUUAUCUGGCGUGUGAUGAAAGCCUCAAUCAAGCUGUUUCUUAUGCAAUUCUGGAUUGUUUCAGGCAACUCCAAAACUCAGUGAAGACAAGGUGAAGCAAUGCGUUGACGCUAAAUUAAAUGGAGAUUACCCUCUUGAGGCAGUUGCAGAGGUAUUGGAGAUGGUAACUUUGGCUGAAAAUAAUACAUCAAAUUCGAGGUUUCUUGGUGUAAGAGCAAAAGAUUGUGAAGAAGGUUUUGAAGAUCCAAAAAGCAAAGGAAAAACAAAUUUCAAGGAGCUAAAAAGUGGGAGGGUGGAAGCAAAACUUUUUGGAUUUUAAGAAAUGAAUGAGAAACUGGAAAAGUUGCUUUCUUUGUAUUGAAUUCUCUGUUUUUAGUAGGUUUGAAUUAACAAAAUUUCUUAUA
This is an RNA transcript of Pistacia vera, 816 nucleotides long. It is a transcript of the gene named receptor-like cytoplasmic kinase 1, with no coding region annotated. The record is from RefSeq and is a predicted model, not a curated record. NCBI's taxonomy places the organism in Eukaryota, Viridiplantae, Streptophyta, Magnoliopsida, Sapindales, Anacardiaceae. The transcript has 3 exons.